This 429-nucleotide ribosomal RNA is filed under the name uncultured bacterium. RNAcentral's name for it is "partial 16S ribosomal RNA". It matches the Rfam family "Bacterial small subunit ribosomal RNA", at positions 338 to 795 of the family's 1533-position model. The record is from RNAcentral.
CCUACGGGUGGCAGCAGUGGGGAAUCUUGCGCAAUGGGCGAAAGCCUGACGCAGCGACGCCGCGUGGGGGAGGAAGCUCUUCGGAGUGUAAACCCCUGUCAGGAGGGAAGCGGUACCUCCAAAGGAAGCACCGGCUAACUCUGUGCCAGCAGCCGCGGUAAUACAGAGGGUGCGAGCGUUGUUCGGAAUUACUGGGCGUAAAGCGCGCGCAGGCGGUCCUUUAAGUCUCCCGUGAAAUGCCGGAGCUCAACUCCUGCACGCCGGGGGAUACUGGAGGACUGGAGACGAGUAGAGGCAAGCGGAAUUCCGGGUGUAGCGGUGGAAUGCGUAGAGAUCCGGAAGAACACCGGAGGCGAAGGCGGUUGCUGGCUGGCUGACGCUGAGGCGCGAAAGCGUGGGGAGCGAACAGGAUUAGAUACCCUAGUAGUC